ACGCUCGACACCUACGGGAGGCAGCAGUGGGAAUAUUGCACAAUGGGGAAACCCUGAUGCAGCGAUGCCGCGUGAAGGAAGAAGUAUCUCGGUAUGUAAACUUCUAUCAGCAGGGAANAAAAUGACGGUACCUGACUAAGAAGCCCCGGCUAACUACGUGCCAGCAGCCACGGUAAUCUGAGCGGGCUGGCAAGGC
Molecule: ribosomal RNA, 196 nt
Filed under: uncultured bacterium
Lineage: Bacteria
Description: partial 16S ribosomal RNA
Rfam family: Bacterial small subunit ribosomal RNA
Source: RNAcentral